This 541-nucleotide ribosomal RNA is filed under the name Pichia sp. LCF-18. RNAcentral's name for it is "eukaryotic LSU rRNA". It matches the Rfam family "Eukaryotic large subunit ribosomal RNA", at positions 89 to 650 of the family's 3401-position model. Lineage: Eukaryota; Fungi; Ascomycota; Pichiomycetes; Pichiales; Pichiaceae. The record is from RNAcentral.
GCGAGUGAAGCGGCAAGAGCUCAAAUUUGAAAUCUGGUACCUUCGGUGCCCGAGUUGUAAUUUGAAGAAAGCUAUCUUGGAUUUGGCCUUUGUCUAUGUUCCUUGGAACAGGACGUCACAGAGGGUGAGAAUCCCGUGCGAUGAGGUGUCCAUUUCUAUGUAAGAUGUUUUCGAAGAGUCGAGUUGUUUGGGAAUGCAGCUCUAAGUGGGUGGUAAAUUCCAUCUAAAGCUAAAUAUUGGCGAGAGACCGAUAGCGAACAAGUACAGUGAUGGAAAGAUGAAAAGAACUUUGAAAAGAGAGUGAAAAAGUACGUGAAAUUGUUGAAAGGGAAGGGUAUUAGAUCAGACUUGGUAUUUAGUUAUCAUUGCUCCUUGUGGGUGGUGCUCUAGCUUUUUACUGGGCCAGCAUCAGUUUUGGUGGCAAGAUAAUGACAUUUGAACGUGGCUCUUCGGAGUGUUAUAGCUUUUGUUGAUAUUGCCUACUGGGACUGAGGUCUGCGGCUUUUGCCUAGGAUGCUGGCGUAAUGAUCCAAUACCGCCC